UACGGGGGGGGCAAGCGUUGUUCGGAAUUACUGGGCGUAAAGGGCUCGUAGGCGGCCAACUAAGUCAUACGUGAAAUCCCUCGGCUUAACCGGGGAACUGCGUCUGAUACUGGAUGGCUUGAGUUCGGGAGAGGGAUGCGGAAUUCCAGGUGUAGCGGUGAAAUGCGCAGAUAUCGGGAGGAACACCAAUGGCGAAGGCAGCUCGCUGGGACGGUACUGACGCUGAGACGCGAAAGCGUGGGGAGCGAACAGG
RNAcentral lists this ribosomal RNA (253 nucleotides) under uncultured bacterium. RNAcentral describes it as "partial 16S ribosomal RNA". It matches the Rfam family "Bacterial small subunit ribosomal RNA", at positions 524 to 776 of the family's 1533-position model. The record is from RNAcentral.